This 169-nucleotide unclassified non-coding RNA is filed under the name soil metagenome. RNAcentral describes it as "partial contains 5.8S ribosomal RNA, internal transcribed spacer 2, and large subunit ribosomal RNA". The record is from RNAcentral.
AAGACUAUAGACCUGCGGAGUACCUGCGGAAGGAUCAUUAGUGAACGCCCUCACGGGCUUAUAACUAUUCCAAACCUCUGUGAACCGUGCCCUUCGGGGCUAUUUUACAAACAUGGUGUAAUGAACGACAUAUAUCAUAACAAAACAAAACUUUCAACAACGGAUCUCU